This 138-nucleotide small nucleolar RNA is filed under the name Papio anubis (olive baboon). Its description in RNAcentral is "Small nucleolar RNA SNORA70 (ENSPANG00000015433.3)". It matches the Rfam family "Small nucleolar RNA SNORA70". Rfam says of the family: snoRNA U70 seems to be exclusive to mammals and is a member of the H/ACA class of snoRNA which contain H (ANANNA) and ACA box motifs. H/ACA box snoRNAs are involved in the conversion of uridines to pseudouridines (5-ribosyluracil) a constituent of structural RNAs (transfer, ribosomal, small nuclear, and small nucleolar). Lineage: Eukaryota; Metazoa; Chordata; Mammalia; Primates; Cercopithecidae. The record is from Rfam by way of RNAcentral.
CUGCAGCCAAUUAAGCCGACUGAGUUCCUUUCCUCAUGGGGGCCCAGUGUGCAAUGGCUGCAAACAGCAGCUUCCCUGGCAGUGAUGCAGCCUGUUUGUUUGCUGCAUGGGUUGCUCUAAAGGACCUUGGAGACAGUC